UCGAGAAUUUUUCACAAUGGGGGAAACCCUGAUGGAGCGACGCCGCGUGGAGGAUGAAGGUCUUCGGGUUGUAAACUCCUGUCAUGCGGGAACAAGCAAGUGAUAGUACCGCAAGAGGAAGAGACGGCUAACUCUGUGCCAGCAGCCGCGGUAAUACAGAGGUCUCAAGCGUUGUUCGGAUUCAUUGGGCGUAAAGGGUGCGUAGGUGGUGGCGCAAGUCUGGUGUGAAAUCUCGGAGCUUAACUCCGAAAUUGCACCGGAUACUGCGUGACUCGAGGACUGUAGAGGAGAUCGGAAUUCACGGUGUAGCAGUGAAAUGCGUAGAUAUCGUGAGGAAGACCAGUUGCGAAGGCGGAUCUCUGGGCAGUUCCUGACACUGAGGCACGAAGGCCAGGGGAGCGAAACGGGAUUAGAUACCCCGGUAGUCCUGGCAGUAAACGGUGCACGUUGGUGUGGGCGAGUUCAG
RNAcentral lists this ribosomal RNA (466 nucleotides) under uncultured Verrucomicrobiota bacterium. RNAcentral's name for it is "bacterial SSU rRNA". It matches the Rfam family "Bacterial small subunit ribosomal RNA", at positions 355 to 835 of the family's 1533-position model. The record is from RNAcentral. Lineage: Bacteria; Pseudomonadati; Verrucomicrobiota.